Molecule: long non-coding RNA, 1995 nt
Organism: Papaver somniferum (opium poppy)
Lineage: Eukaryota; Viridiplantae; Streptophyta; Magnoliopsida; Ranunculales; Papaveraceae
Exons: 3
Source: RefSeq, a predicted model, not a curated record
UAUAUGAAGUUGAUGUUGAUCCACAGAUUCACUGGUAUCCGCAUGAGUAUUCCGUUGAUUGUUUGCCUUAUUAAAUGGCUUUUCCUCAAGGUUGUGAGUCUCUAGUUUUUUAAGAAUGUUUCUCCUGGUAUUUGGAUGACAUGCAGCAUAAUGUAAAUGUUAAGGUUGAAGAGUGUUUGCAGCACGAGAGGCCUCCUGGUGUUGUGCGUGAGCUCUUGGUUGAUUCUCUUGUUGAGAGGUUGGUUCAAUUCUUCAAUCUGCCAAAGCCCGCUCCAAUCAAUCAGGAUAUUAGUAAUCCUUUUGAGAUUCAUGAGGAAAAUAGAAAGAAAAUAGAGGGUAAUCAUCUUGCUAGGGAUAAAAAUGUUGUGAUUGAUAACAAAUAUGAAGAUGAAUUGAAUUUUUCCCCCAUGAUAAGAAACCGCGUAGGUUUCGAUAUGAUGAUGAUGAGUGGAAAUUGUAUGCAUAUCAUCCGAAAUUUUGUCCUUUCCAAGUGCAUGAUGGUGUUGUUAUAGUUGCAGAUCGCUAUCUUGUUUCUGGUCCGAGUCGAAUUGGUUUCCAAUCUACUGUUCACCCUAUUGAUGCUCGAUUGAUGGUCCGUAAUUAGUUGCUCAACCUUGGCGCAGUUAUGAGCCUAUGCAGUUUCAUGUAGUUGAUGCUCCUUGCUCUGUAACAGGAUAGAUCGGAUGAAAGAUUUUUGCAAGUGUGCAAUCUCCACCUGCUGAACCAACUCAACCUGGUGUUGAUACUGAGGGAGUAGAUCCAACAACUGUCGGUCCAGAGUGCGUCUGAGGCGGAGCACCACCAUCCCAUGGAAGAGCAUCAGUCUCCAGAGCCAGUGCAACACAGGAGAGAGCUUUCGAUACGCAUGACUCGGAGUUGAACCCGAAGUGUUAUCCAGGGAACUCGAAGCCGAACUCGGCAGCUUCAGAACCGGAGAAUGAAAAUACGUCCGUGGCCAGCGGGUAGGUUAUAUGAUGGAGACCAAAGAGACUUGAAAAGAGGCGCACAGAGUGAUACAGGUACACAUUCAGUGACUCUUGUGCGUUACCAUAUUGAUAACUUCUCAUUCUAUUCUGUAGUAUGGUCGCUGCGGGAGGAGAGUGAAUGGAAAACUAACCCCGAGGUGGUAGAGGCUAAACAAAUCUCUGUAACACAGAAGGUCUUUUACGAUCCAUUUGGUCAGAACGCCUUGUACCUGGGCGAAUGGUGUCUCAAACAAGUUCUUGGAAUGACAGUAUUACCUUGCAAUCCUCUUGAUUCAACGGUAGACAUCAACACUGCCUAUUCGUACGCCAACAAUCAACUUAAUCCCUUGCAUUAUGCUGAAGUGCACGAUCAUGAAUAUAAGCCGUGGUGGAAGGAGAGGUCAGUUGGGAAGUACUCAGGUGUAACUUUACAUGAAGGAAACAGGGAUUUGUAUGGUACGCAAGAUAACGAUGCUUAUGUACGCCAACCAACACCACAACGAAAAAGCACAUACACAUAAGAGUUGGUGCCCAUCGAUCGUCAUCUCUUCCCAUAUCCACAAAAAAAUCUAACAUCUCGAAUAUGCGGCCCUGAAUUUAAUGCGAUUGAGAUGCCUAUUAGAAUGAAGUAUUUGGGACAGUAUCCUCAACCCAGUUAUAAUGUCAAUUAGGGUACAGCUGAGAUGUAGUGUCGGGCAUAUCAAGAUUCGCAACAACAACUCACGGCUCAACAACAAUUCUAUUUCGACCACAUAAAGGAGCUGCAAUACAAAAUCAAAUACGGUGCAGAAUCUCGUCGGAGAUUUGUGAGAGAGUAUCUACCACCACAUACAUGUGAGUCUUCUACACCGGGCCAGUCUCGUGAUUCGGGACCAUCGACGGGUUCUUUUGUUCCAAACAGUCAAGAAGAAUCUUACCAUCCUUAUAAUUCGUCUGAACAACUCAAUCAAAGUACAACCACGUACCAACAUCAGGGUAAUGAAAAUAAUCCAUGGUUUGAAAUGUAAAUGGCUAGUUUUUUUUAACUUUU